This 5016-nucleotide long non-coding RNA is filed under the name Marmota monax (woodchuck). The stretch from base 1155 to 1223 matches the Rfam family "tRNA". The record is from RNAcentral. Lineage: Eukaryota; Metazoa; Chordata; Mammalia; Rodentia; Sciuridae.
UUUUUGGCAGGAAUUUAUUCUGGUAUUCUGUUAUUAAGAAUACAUAUGUUGAAGGUACCUGGAGAGGCUUAAUUAAGGUUCAUUGGUGGAGGAGGGGGCACCACUACACUCUGGGACUUCACAGGGUUUCAAUAGGUCAUAUUGAUUUUUCCUGGGGCCCAUGCAGUUUCAGAGCCAUCCUCAGAGUCCUGUUUGUCUUCAGGAUCUUUUACAUGUUCUCCAUGAGGCUCAGUGCUGUUCUCAGAGUGUCAGUUGCUCAGUGCUUUGUCCAGCCUCAGUGUAAGGCUCUGAAUCUUCCCAAAGGAAUCACUAGGUUCAGGCUCUUUGGGGCUUUUUUAAUAAAUCCCAGGGCCUUUCCCAGGGCCUCUGUGGAGCUAAAGUGCCAUUGCCAGCAUCACAGUGGUGCUUAGCAUCUUCCCCAGAGGUUGCCUGUGUGUCAGGGCCUUCCCAAGAGUCUUAGUAAGGCCUAGGGCCUACCCUACUGAUUCAGUGGCUUAAAGAACUCUGCACACUCUGUAGUGGUACUUAGAUUCUUCCACAGUUUCCUGGGUAAAGAAUGGCCUUCACCAGUGUCUCAGUGGGGAAUAAUUCCUUGCGCAGUGUGACAUUAAAAUUCAGGGAAAUUCCUCUUGUCACUGUGGUGCUCCGGGCCUUCUGCAGUGUCAGUGGAUUUCAGGGUCACCACAUGUUUCUUAGUGUAAGCUCAGGGCUUUCUCUAGAGUCUCGGUGUGGCUUAGUGCUUACCCCAAUGGGUUACAGGGGCUCAGGGAAUCUUUCAGUUUUUUUUGUUUGUUUGUUUUUGUUUUUGUUUUGUUUUGUUUUGUUUUUUUGUCCCUGGGUCUUCCAUGAAGCUAAAGGCCUUCAAUAGCCUCUCAGUGGGGUUUGUGGACUUCUUUAGCAUCUAAGUUCAGUUGUUUUAGUCAUCUUUUUUGUUGGUUUAAUGUAAGAACCUGAAUAAAACAACUGUGGAGGAGGAAAAGAUUAUUUGAAGGCGCAGAGUUUUAGAGGUCUUGGUGCACAGAAGACUGGCUCCACUCCUCAGGGCUCGAGGUGAAGCAGAAAAUCAUGAUGGAAGAGUAAAGCAGCUCACAGGAUGAAUAGGAAGGAGAGAGCAGGAACUCUACUCAUAAGAUAUAAAAUAUAUACCCCAGGCUGGGGCUGUAGCUCAGUGGCAGAGUGCUUGCCUUGCACACAUGAGGUACUGAGCUCGACCCUUAGCACCAUAUAAAAAUAAAUAAAAUAAAGACAUGCUGUCCAUCUAUAACUACAAAAAUAAAAUAAAAUAAAAUAUAUACCCCAAAGAAAUGCCCCCAAAUUUCUACCUCUCCAGUCAUACCUUACCAGCCUUCAGUUAUCACUCAGUUAAUUCCUUAUUGAAUUAAUGCUCUUAGGACCCAAUCAUUUUUUUCUCUGAACCUUUUUGAAUUGUCUCCCAUGUGAGCUUUUGGGAAACACCUCAUAUCCUAAACAUCACAUUCCACACCUGUCCCCCAAAAGCUCACAACCAUCUCACAAUGCAAAGUACAUUUUGUCCAUUCCCAAGAGUUUCUAUGGUCUCAACAGUUCCAAGACUGCUCAGAGUUCAAGUCCAAAGUCUUCUCUGAGGCUCAAUGCAAUUUUUCAUUGUGAUAAAAUGAAAAGCAAUUUACUAUUACCCAAUAUAUAAUGGGUACAAAGUAAACAUUUCAUUCACAAAAUUAGGGGCAUAGAAAGAAGGGAUAGGAUCAGAGCAAGACCAAAAUCCAGCUGGUCAAACAGGUCCUGUAGUUCUGUGUCCACAUCUGAAACACAUGGCAUCAUGACGUUCUUCCCAAAGGUCUUGUGUAUCCCUACCCCUGUGGCCUUGUUGCUUGUAGCCCAAGUGGUUGUUUUGGGCUUGUCUCUGCUCAAUUCCUGCAGCUUUCCAAGAAUGAUGUCCCAUGUUACUGGCAUUUCUUAAUGAGGAGGGUUUGUCUCCACUGCAGCUUCAGUUUCCUCCUCAUAACUGCAGACUUUGACUUCUCAGGUGCCCACAGGGACUCCAAUCCUGUUGCCCUUUGUCUGGUUUCCCAGGCCUUCCUUUGAAACCAAGGAAGAACCCUCCAUAAAUCCCUAACUCCAGCAUCCUACAUUCAUGCAGAACAAGAACCUCAUGAUUGGUCCCAAGGCCUGCCACCAUGUUGAGCAAUAACCAAGAUUCUAGGGACCCUGGCUUCAGCAGCCUCUGAGUGUUUGGGUAGUGGAGCCUGUAGAAAACAUUUUCUAGCCCCCCUUGGGUUAGAAGGUUUCCCCUCUAGUCUCUUGUUAAGAAAAUUCUCACCUUGAGAUGAGUGUAGACUUGCCAGAUUUUGAGAAGUCCUUAAGCCACCUUUCUUAUUGUCUCUGUUCAAAGUCUUUAGCAUUUUUGUAGGGGUGGUAAUGACUUUAACAACUGCAACAUCCUUAGGCUUAGUUUUAUGAACUUUCAAGUUGAUUUUUUCCAAAUAUUUCUGCUCUGCUUUCUGCUCCUGAAUAUUACAAUAAAUUUGGCUAAAAGGUGCCAGCAAUGUCUCUGUCAUUGUCUGAAUGCUACGCUGCCUAGAUAUUUCUUCAAUCACAUAAGGAAGUCAUUUUUGGGGCUAGGAUUGUGGCUCAGUGGCAGAGCAUUCACCUAGCAUGUGUGAGGCACUGGAUUCAAUCCUCAGCACCACAUCAAUAAUUAAGAAAGGAAGGAAGGAAGGAAGGAAGGAAGGAAGGAAAGAAGGAAGGAAGGAAGGAAGGAAAGAAGGAAGGAAGGAAGGAAGGAAGGAAGGAAGGAAGGAAGGAAGGAAGGAAGAAUUGUGUUCAUCUACAACUAAAAACAAACAAACAAACAAACAGAAAGUCCAUCACUUCUAAAAUCGGCCCCAUUGAAAGUCUCAGGGCCUGGGCAAAAUGCAGACACUUCUCAGCCAGAACAUAACAAGAAUGACCUCAAUUCUAAAUUCCAAUAAAGUCCUCCAUUUCUAAACCUUCUUGAGCUUGGUCUUUACUGACCUGUGUACUGUUGCCAAUUGGUCUUCUGAGCUCCCACCAGAAUCAGCCAUUAAUCUCUGCUUACAACAAUCUAAAGCAUUUCCAUCUGCACUGCUACACAUCUCAAAAUUCCUCCCACCAAUUCCAAAAUGCUCAAAAUGCUUAUUAAACAUGAGUUUAAUAAGUACUUAGUCACAAAAAUUACUCACUUCUUGGUACAAUAUCUCUUUUACUCAGCUUUUUGCACUCCUGUGACUAAAAUAACCCACAAGAACAAUCACAGGGGAGGAAAAGUUUAUUUGGGGGCUCAUGGUUUCAGACAUCUUAGUCCAUACAAAGCUAGCUCCAUACCUGAGAGCUUAAGGCAAGGCAGGACAUCAUGGUUGUUAGGAUGGCCUUAGGCCUGAGCCUAAGCAACACCAUUUUAAAAAUUCCUGUUUGAAACCUGCAGUUUCACCAGACACACACACAGAGCCCUUCAGUGUGGCCACAAACAAGUUACAUACCCUCACCAUGAUAAACAGAGUGAAGCCCCUGGCAGGCUGUCUUCACCUGAUAAGAGAAAAAGUGGAGAAGAUCAGGGUCAGAUGUUUCUGAUCCCAGGUAAAUGAUGUCACUGAGAAAUCUGGUGGUAGCUGAUAAGGAUUGAAAGGGGGUCAAAACCUCAAAAUUUAGUAUAAAUAAUAGAGCAAAUGAACAGGGAUUCAGCCAGCUGAAACAAGGAUGCACUCAAGCUGGAGAGCCUGAUGAGGACCUGACAUCCCAUCACUUGUCAUCAUUUCCUGAGCCUCUGUGUAAUCCUCACCACUCUCAAACUCUACCACCUUGUUUGGACCUUGGUGAGAGACACAACUUCUCCCUAUGACCCUCUCCUCAACCAGUCAUCCACUCCAUGCCAGGAAACAGCCUGCCUUGGUUCCGGACCUGAUCACCGUGGUCUGAGUGAGAGUGCAUCUGCUGGACCUAAAGCCUAAGGCUUGCAGAUGAAAUGUCUGUCAUUAGACCAUCAUGAUUAAGUGUGUUUUUGCAGUGCUAUAAUUAAUCUAGAAUUGUUUGCUGUGAAUUAAUUAAUCUAGAAUUGUUUACUGGGAAUUGAUUAUGUCCAUUGCAGUGCCUAGCAUUAAGGAUUGUAAUUUUCUUGAUUAAAAACCUAUAAAAUGGAAUUUUAUUGAGUAUUUUGAGUGAAUAAAGCAUUGAAAGGGGCAGAAUAGUGUGGACAUUCUUAUUUCUCCCCUCGACUGCAUACAUCACAAUUUUGUCUCCUCGUGACAAUGGUAAAAGAGUGUGUCAGAGGGAAGAAACACACAUGGCCAAUGUAAAGCAGAAGAUAACUCCAUUCACCAGAUACAAAAUAUAUAUCAGAAUGCCAUGCCCCAAAAGUCCCAACUCCUCCUGACACACCUCAACAGCCUUCAGUGACCAUUCAGUUAAUUCAAAUGAGGGGACUGAACAACUGAGUAUAUUAAGGCUCUUAAGACACAAUAAUUUCUCCUCUGAACCUUCUUGCAUUGUCUCAUGUGUAAAGAUUUGGAGUACACCUUAUAUUAAAACUAUAACAAGACUUGUGGACCUUUCCCAGGGUCUCCUUCUAUCUCAGAGAUUUUUGAGAUCAACAAUGAAGCUCAUUGCUUUCUCAUGUUCAUUAGUGGUCCUCAGUGCCUUCCACAGAACCUCCAGAGUACUAAGGAUACACGGAAAUUCAGUGUGACUCAGAGCAAUGUCUCUAGGCAUUCAGGGUCUUCACAGGUAUCUAAUUUGGGUGCAAGACUCUUCCCAGUGUAUCAUUGGGAUUGAAAGAAUUUGCAGAUCUCUAAAGAGCCUCACAGCAUUUCAUACUGAUUCAGUGGAGUGUGGUGCCUUGCCCAGGGCAUCAGUGUAUUUCAUAGUCUCCUCCACUUUCACAGUCAUGCUCAGGAUGUUUUCCCCAUAGUCUUAAUGUUAUCUUUCUUUUCCUUGGGUAUUCAGGUGUGAUCUUAGACAUUCCUAGCAUUUCAGUGUGGUUCACUGAAAAAGAGACAGAAGCCCUGGUUAGGGCCUCUGGGG